RNAcentral lists this ribosomal RNA (373 nucleotides) under uncultured organism. RNAcentral describes it as "partial 16S ribosomal RNA". It matches the Rfam family "Bacterial small subunit ribosomal RNA", at positions 527 to 896 of the family's 1533-position model. The record is from RNAcentral.
GUAGGUGGCAAGCGUUGUCCGGAAUUAUUGGGCGUAAAGCGCGCGCAGGCGGCCCUUUAAGUCUGAUGUGAAAGCCCACGGCUCAACCGUGGAGGGUCAUUGGAAACUGGGGGACUUGAGUACAGAAGAGGAAAGUGGAAUUCCACGUGUAGCGGUGAAAUGCGUAGAGAUGUGGAGGAACACCAGUGGCGAAGGCGACUUUCUGGUCUGUAACUGACGCUGAGGCGCGAAAGCGUGGGGAGCAAACAGGGAUUAGAUACCCUGGUAGUCCACGCCGUAAACGAUGAGUGCUAAGUGUUAGAGGGUUUCCGCCCCUUUAGUGCUGCAGCUAACGCAUUAAGCACUCCGCCUGGGGAGUACGGCCGCAAGGCUG